This 256-nucleotide ribosomal RNA is filed under the name uncultured cyanobacterium SUR-FREE-33. RNAcentral's name for it is "partial 16S ribosomal RNA". It matches the Rfam family "Bacterial small subunit ribosomal RNA", at positions 8 to 295 of the family's 1533-position model. Lineage: Bacteria; Bacillati; Cyanobacteriota. The record is from RNAcentral.
AGAGUUUGAUCAUGGCUCAGGAUGAACGCUGGCGGCGUGCUUAACACAUGCAAGUCGAACGAACCUUCGGGUUAGUGGCGGACGGGUGAGUAACGCGUGAGAAUCUGCCCUCAGGAGGGGGAUAACGGUUGGAAACGACCGCUAAUACCCCAUAUGCCGCGAGGUGAAAUGAAUUUCGCCUGAGGAUGAGCUCGCGUCUGAUUAGCUAGUUGGUGGGGUAAAGGCCUACCAAGGCAUCGAUCAGUACCUGGUCUGA